GGGGAUGUAAAGGUUUCGACGGGGAUUGGAAGCCCUGGUAAGCGAGUAGCGGGGCGGGACCGCUAUAAAAUCCGCAAACUUAAAAUUAAACGACAACAAUACUGUUGCUGUUGCUGCUUAAUUAAGCAGCCGUUCUUACCCGCAGGACCGCGGGCGGGAUAAGAGCGUCGAUUAGCGGUGCACGUGUGCAGGGCCACGCCU
This 201-nucleotide transfer-messenger RNA is filed under the name Clostridia bacterium. Its description in RNAcentral is "partial transfer-messenger RNA". It matches the Rfam family "transfer-messenger RNA", at positions 1 to 221 of the family's 374-position model. Rfam says of the family: Bacterial tmRNA, also known as 10Sa RNA or SsrA, is named for its dual tRNA and mRNA-like properties. Its role is to liberate the mRNA from a stalled ribosome. The record is from RNAcentral. Lineage: Bacteria; Bacillati; Bacillota; Clostridia.